AGUGAACGCUGGCGGUAGGCCUAACACAUGCCAGUCGAACGGCAGCACAGUAAGAGCUUGCUCUUACGGGUGGCGAGUGGCGGACGGGUGAGGAAUACAUCGGAAUCUACUUUUUCGUGGGGGAUAACGUAGGGAAACUUACGCUAAUACCGCAUACGACCUACGGGUGAAAGCAGGGGAUCUUCGGACCUUGCGCGAUUGAAUGAGCCGAUGUCGGAUUAGCUAGUUGGCGGGGUAAAGGCCCACCAAGGCGACGAUCCGUAGCUGGUCUGAGGGGAUGGUCAGCCACACGGGAACGGAGACAGGGUCCAGACUCCUGCGGGAGGGAGCAGUGGGGAAUAUGGGACAAUGGGCGCAAGCCUGAUCCAGCCAUACCGCGUGGGUGAAGAAGGCCUUCGGGUUGUAAAGCCCUUUUGUUGGGAGAGAAAAGCAGCAGGUUAAUACCCCGCUGUUCUGACGGUACCCAAAGAAUAAGCACCGGCUAACUUCGUG
Molecule: ribosomal RNA, 492 nt
Filed under: uncultured bacterium
Lineage: Bacteria
Description: partial 16S ribosomal RNA
Rfam family: Bacterial small subunit ribosomal RNA
Source: RNAcentral